Molecule: transfer RNA, 77 nt
Filed under: Paracoccaceae bacterium
Lineage: Bacteria; Pseudomonadati; Pseudomonadota; Alphaproteobacteria; Rhodobacterales; Paracoccaceae
Description: Rhodobacteraceae bacterium tRNA-Ala
Rfam family: tRNA
About the family: Transfer RNA (tRNA) molecules are approximately 80 nucleotides in length.
Source: RNAcentral
GGCCGGGUGAGCCUGAAUUGGUUAAGGCACCGAUUGGCAUUCGGGGAAUGUGGGUUCAGGUCCCACCCCGGCCUCCA